This 1412-nucleotide ribosomal RNA is filed under the name uncultured archaeon. RNAcentral's name for it is "16S ribosomal RNA". It matches the Rfam family "Archaeal small subunit ribosomal RNA". The record is from RNAcentral.
ACUGCUAUUGGGGUUCGACUAAGCCAUGCAAGUCUUCCGCGAGGAGGCAAAAGGCUGAGUAACACGUAGGUAACCUACCUUAAGGAGGGAAAUAACCUCGGGAAACUGAGGAUAAUGUCCCAUAGGUUUUGGAUAUUGGAAUAUUCCAAAACUCAAAGCUUCGGCGCCUUAAGAUGGGCCUGCGGCCUAUCAGCUUGUUGGUAGUGUAAUGGACUACCAAGGCUAAGACGGGUAGGGGCAGUGAGAGCUGGAGCCCCCAGAUGGGUACUGAGACACGGACCCAAGCCCUACGGGGUGCAGCAGGCGCGAAACCUCCGCAAUGCACGCAAGUGUGACGGGGGGACCCCAAGUGUCCCUGGAUUUUUCCAAGGACUUUUCUUAAGUGUAAAGAGCUUGAGGAAUAAGAGCUGGGUAAGACGGGUGCCAGCCGCCGCGGUAAUACCCGCAGCUCGAGUGGUCUGGAGUUUUAUUGGGUUUAAAGCGUUCGUAGCCGGGUUUGUAAGUUCUCUGUGAAAUCUGGCAGCUUAACUGUCAGGCGUGCAGAGGAUACUGCAAACCUUGGGACCGGGAUGGGCCAAGGGUACUCCUAGGGUAGGGGUGAAAUACCUGNAAAAGGUUUCACAAUCCAAUAANCCUNGGGGGACCANCUGUGGCAAANGCGCUUGGCUNAAACGGUUCCGACGGUGAGGGACGAAAGCUAGGGGAGCGAACGGGAUUAGAUACCCCGGUAGUCCUAGCUGUAAAUGCUGCAGACUAGGUGUUGCCUUCUCCUUGUGAGAGGGCAGUGCCGAAGGNAAACCGUUAAGUCUGCCACCUGGGAAGUACGGUUGCAAGGCUGAAACUUAAAGGAAUUGACGGGGGAGCACCACAAGGGGUGGAGCGUGCGGUUCAAUUGGAUUCAACGCCGGAAAUCUUACUGGGGGCGACAGCAGGAUGAAGGUCAGGUUGACGAUCUUACUAGACUUGCUGAGAGGUAGUGCAUGGCCGUCGUCAGUUCGUGCCGUAGGGCGUUCGGUUAAGUCCGACAACGAACGAGACCCACGCUAUCAGUUGCUAACCUUUUCUCUGGAAGAGGUGCACUCUGAUAGGACCGCUGCUGAUGAAGCAGAGGAAGGAGUGGGCAACGGUAGGUCAGUAUGCUCCGAAUCCCCCAGGCUACACGCGGGCUACAAUGGUUGGAACAAUGAGCUGCGACACUGAAAAGUGAAGCCAAUCUCCAAAUCCAAUCCCAGUUCGGAUCGAGCUUUGUAACUCAGGCUCGUGAAGUCGGAAUCCCUAGUAAUCGUGUUUCACUAUAACACGGUGAAUAUGUCCCUGCUCCUUGUACACACCGCCCGUCAAAUCACCUGAGUUGGGUUUGGAUGAGGUCUUAUCUUCUGAUAAGUUCGAAUCCGAGUUCAGCAAGGGGGGUU